Molecule: transfer RNA, 86 nt
Filed under: Lacrimispora celerecrescens
Lineage: Bacteria; Bacillati; Bacillota; Clostridia; Lachnospirales; Lachnospiraceae
Also listed under: 4 other names
Description: [Clostridium] celerecrescens tRNA-Leu
Rfam family: tRNA
About the family: Transfer RNA (tRNA) molecules are approximately 80 nucleotides in length. Their secondary structure includes four short double-helical elements and three loops (D, anti-codon, and T loops). Further hydrogen bonds mediate the characteristic L-shaped molecular structure. tRNAs have two regions of fundamental functional importance: the anti-codon, which is responsible for specific mRNA codon recognition, and the 3' end, to which the tRNAs corresponding amino acid is attached (by aminoacyl-tRNA synthetases). tRNAs cope with the degeneracy of the genetic code in two manners: having more than one tRNA (with a specific anti-codon) for a particular amino acid; and 'wobble' base-pairing, i.e. permitting non-standard base-pairing at the 3rd anti-codon position.
Source: RNAcentral
GCCGGCAUGUCGGAAUGGCAGACGAGGCGGACUCAAAAUCCGUUGAUGGCAACAUCGUGUGGGUUCAAGUCCCACUGCCGGCACUA